AUUUAGUAGCCUUAGAAUGAGGGGAAGUAGAAUUGUUUAAACGUUGAUUCAAUGUUGUUUUAUCAGAGUCUGAUGUUAAUAUUUUGUGUUUCAGAUUGUUUUUGCCAAUGUUUUGAUCUGAGGUUUAAAGAACCACUUUUACAAUAUUGGAGAUAUGUAGUGGAAUAAAUGCCUGGAAAGACAAUUAUUGUCUGACAAUAUAAACUAUAAAUUGAAACCGGAAUGCAAUGAUAAGAAAGGGAAAUAUGGAAUAAAUGCCUGGAAAUACAAUAUAAACUAUAAUUUUAAACUGGAAUGCAAUGAUAAGAAAGGGAAAUAAACUAUUGCUAAGUCUAAAGAACCACUGAAGCUGAAGAAUUGAGAUACAACAAUCUUUGACUGACUUUAGAUUGGUGGCGAUCGAAGGUGGACAGCAAGAUCGAAGCUCAGCAAGAUUGAAGAUUGUUCGAAGAAGAAGGAGUUCGCCGUUGACUAAAAGGUUUAUCUGAACAGCUAGUUGUCAAGAUGAAUGCGAAGACUCGCCCGGCCAAAUUCAAAAUGGCGAUGCCAAAGAAAACCAUCCACCUGGACCGUUCGCAGACCUUUCUGGGCAAGAUUGUUGUGCUGUCUGGUCAAAGUUAAGUAUUUUACUUUGAUGUUUGUGUGCCUUCGGCUAAUUGUUGGCCAGAAAUGACAAAAAGCCAUAUACAAUAUGAAAUAUUCUGCGUACAAGGUUAUCUAAAAUUUCGAACUUAAUUCUGCCUGCAAUGAUGAUAAUUUUUUACUGAAAAUUUAUGUCAUGAGCAACUUCCGCACCUAUAGACUGAAGCAGAACUGAACAUUUUGUCAUUAACGUUUAUCUCAACAGCCAGUUAUCAAGACGAACGUCAAGAGAACAGUUGAAAUAG
RNAcentral lists this long non-coding RNA (887 nucleotides) under Dendronephthya gigantea. RNAcentral describes it as "uncharacterized LOC114543285, transcript variant X1". Lineage: Eukaryota; Metazoa; Cnidaria; Anthozoa; Malacalcyonacea; Nephtheidae. The record is from RNAcentral.